UACGUAGGGGGCAAGCGUUGUCCGGAAUCAUUGGGCGUAAAGAGCGUGUAGGCGGCUCGGUAAGUCCGCUGUGAAAGUCCAGGGCUCAACCCUGGAAUGCCGGUGGAAACUGUCCAGCUAGAGUCCGGAAGAGGCGAGUGGAAUUCCUGGUGUAGCGGUGAAAUGCGCAGAUAUCAGGAGGAACACCGGUGGCGAAGGCGGUUCUCUGGGACUGUCCUGACGCUGAGGAGCGAAAGUGUGGGGAGCGAACAGG
This 253-nucleotide ribosomal RNA is filed under the name uncultured bacterium. RNAcentral describes it as "partial 16S ribosomal RNA". It matches the Rfam family "Bacterial small subunit ribosomal RNA", at positions 524 to 776 of the family's 1533-position model. The record is from RNAcentral.